UACGUAGGGGGCUAGCGUUAAUCGGAAUUACUGGGCGUAAAGCGUGCGUAGGCGGUUGGGUAAGUCCGAUGUGAAAGCCCCGGGCUCAACCUGGGAAUUGCAUUUGAGACUGCGUAGCUAGGGUGCGGAAGAGGGAAGCGGAAUUUCCGGUGUAGCGGUGAAAUGCGUAGAUAUCGGAAGGAACACCAGUGGCGAAAGCGGCUUCCUGGUCCAGCACCGACGUUCAGGCACGAAAGCGUGGGGAGCAAACAGG
RNAcentral lists this ribosomal RNA (253 nucleotides) under uncultured bacterium. RNAcentral's name for it is "partial 16S ribosomal RNA". It matches the Rfam family "Bacterial small subunit ribosomal RNA", at positions 524 to 776 of the family's 1533-position model. The record is from RNAcentral.